RNAcentral lists this ribosomal RNA (269 nucleotides) under uncultured bacterium. RNAcentral's name for it is "partial 16S ribosomal RNA". It matches the Rfam family "Bacterial small subunit ribosomal RNA", at positions 524 to 776 of the family's 1533-position model. The record is from RNAcentral.
UACGUAGGUGACAAGCGUUGUCCGGAUUUACUGGGCGUAAAGAGCGCGCAGGCGGUCGAUCAAGUCGAGUGUGAAAGCCCCCGGCUCAACUGGGGAGGGUCAUUCGAUACUGAUCGACUCGAAGGCAGGAGAGGGUAGUGGAAUUCCCGGUGUAGUGGUGAAAUGCGUAGAUAUCGGGAGGAACACCAGUGGCGAAGGCGGCCCGCUGGGCAGGAAGGCUCGCAAGAGCCGGCUGACACUGAGGCGCGACAGCGUGGGGAGCAAACAGG